Long non-coding RNA from Eriocheir sinensis (Chinese mitten crab), 537 nucleotides. RefSeq lists it as uncharacterized. The transcript is spliced from 4 exons. Lineage: Eukaryota; Metazoa; Arthropoda; Malacostraca; Decapoda; Varunidae. The record is from RefSeq and is a predicted model, not a curated record.
CUCUAGUCAAGAAAUCUCUGUGACUUGGUGUAAACAAAGUCACGCGUGUCGGUGUGUGGCGGGCGUGGGCGAGGCAUUUUGAGGGCGGCACCAGCGCGGCCCAGUGGCGGGAGGCGAGGCAGAGGGAAGGAGAGUCUGGCACAUGUUGAGGGACUUCCCAGUACCCAAGCCUAAGCCGAGUGCGUCCUGAUGCAGCGCGAUGCCAACCUCCUGCUCUGCGCGAGACUGUAGGAGCAGGAAGACUGGGGACUGCAAGCUCACCUUCCACAUCUUCCCCAAAGACCCUGAGCUGCAGAAGAGAUGGAUUACCGUCACUGGCCGCAAGAACUGGACGCCAGGUCGCUACGGCAGGCUAUGCUCUCAGCACUUUGAGGAGAAGUGUUUUGACCGCACCGGCCAGACCACCAGACUCAGGGCCGGGGCACUGCCAACCAUCGGGAAAUAUGUCCCCAGGAACAGAAAGUUUCCAACCGAUAACUACCGCAAAAAACACCACUUGCCCGCCAACCACCACCGCCUACGCACUCACACUCACCA